RNAcentral lists this small RNA (541 nucleotides) under Malus domestica (apple). Its description in RNAcentral is "sRNA MD04G0079100". The record is from RNAcentral. Lineage: Eukaryota; Viridiplantae; Streptophyta; Magnoliopsida; Rosales; Rosaceae.
CUCGACUCCCUCUCCCUUUCCCUUCCUUCCCUAGACUUCAACUCUCAUACUCUCUCAGUCUCACUCACACACUUACUCUCACAGUGCUCACCGUCGUCGGGACCAACACAACAGCACCAUCAACUCCGCUGUCGCGACCACCAUCACUCACCCCAUCACCACCAUCAAGCUCCAACUCUCAGACUCUCACAGUGCUAUCGCGGCCAACACAACGGCACCAUCUCCGCCGUCGCGACCACCAUCAUCACCCCAUCACCACCGCCGUCGCGACCACCUACUGCUACUAAAAUUUAGGCACUCCAUGGACUAAGGAGGAACAUACUAACUACAUAGCUUGGUAAAGGUGAUUGGCUAACAAUAUAGGUGCCAGCAUUGGUCUUCUUUAAAUUGAAAAUAAGUGAUUUAGUUUAGACUUACAUUUACCAUGGGGAAAAACACAAGAAAUGACACAAAUCUGUGCAAUUUAAAAACUGCAAUCGGUGCAGUUUUUUCAAACUACAAUCUGUGCAAUAUGUGCAAUCUGUGCAGCAAACAUUUUUAA